This 398-nucleotide ribosomal RNA is filed under the name uncultured bacterium. RNAcentral describes it as "bacterial SSU rRNA". It matches the Rfam family "Bacterial small subunit ribosomal RNA", at positions 358 to 773 of the family's 1533-position model. The record is from RNAcentral.
GGAAUAUUGCACAAUGGGGGAAACCCUGAUGCAGCAACGCCGCGUGAGUGAAGAAGUCAUUCGUGAUGUAAAGCUCUAUCAGCAGGGAAGAAAAUGACGGUACCUGAGUAAGAAGCCCCGGCUAACUACGUGCCAGCAGCCGCGGUAAUACGUAGGGGGCAAGCUUUAUCCGGAUUUACUGGGUGUAAAGGGGGCGCAGGCGGCGAUGCAAGCCAGGAGUGAAAGCCCGGGGCCCACCCCCGGGACUGCUCUUGGAACUGCGUGGCUGGAGUGCAGGAGGGGCAGGCGGAAUUCCUGGUGUAGCGGUGAAAUGCGUAGAUAUCAGGAGGAACACCGGUGGCGAAGGCGGCCUGCUGGACUGCAACUGACGUUGAGGCCCGAAAGUGUGGGGAGCAAAC